ACAAACUCUUUUGUUUUCUACUCGAGAUAUCAUCUACGCAUGAACAUAGCUCAUGAUGCCACUGUUGGGGAAUGUUGCAUGGGAAACAAAAAUAUCCGACGCACACGAAGACCUGACAUGGUGAUGAUCAUCUACAAGAGGGAGAUUGGAUCCACAUACCCUUGUACAUCACUAAACGGGAAGCGUUAAGAACGUGGUUGAUGUAGUGGAAUGUCUUCGCGAUCCAAAUCAUCGCCGUCCCAUGAUCUGUCUCGAUCUAGCACCAAACGGACGGCACCUCCACGUUCAGCACAUGUACAGCUCGAUGACGAUCUCCGCCUUCUUGAUCCAGCAAGAGAAACGAAGAGGUAGCUGAAUUCUCCAGCAGCAAGAUGGCGUGGCGGUUAUGAUGGUGGAGCUACUCGAGCAGGGCUUCACCGUGCCAUACCGAUCUAGCUUCAAGGUGUCACGAAGUUGUGCAGGGAGAGAGGUUUGCA
Molecule: long non-coding RNA, 476 nt
Filed under: Hordeum vulgare
Lineage: Eukaryota; Viridiplantae; Streptophyta; Magnoliopsida; Poales; Poaceae
Description: long non-coding RNA (HVUL_LNC004033)
Source: RNAcentral